Molecule: non-coding RNA, 94 nt
Organism: Mycena vulgaris
Lineage: Eukaryota; Fungi; Basidiomycota; Agaricomycetes; Agaricales; Mycenaceae
Source: the annotation of a GenBank genome assembly
GGUCUAGUGGUGUAGUGGUAACACACUUUGCUAAAUGUUCUACUUGACAAACGAGUUUCAGCAGGAGAUCUUUGUUCGAAUCAAGGCUAGGCCA